Long non-coding RNA from Acipenser ruthenus (sterlet), 1055 nucleotides. RefSeq lists it as uncharacterized. The transcript is spliced from 2 exons. The record is from RefSeq and is a predicted model, not a curated record. NCBI's taxonomy places the organism in Eukaryota, Metazoa, Chordata, Actinopteri, Acipenseriformes, Acipenseridae.
AAUGCUUAUGCAUUAUUUGACGUUGAUUUUGUGUGUUUCCCCCUUCCUGAAGGUACAAGAAAACCAGCUGAUCGGUGAAUGAGGGGCGCAUCUGCAAUCCCAUCAAACAAAAAAAUAAAGCUUUUCGGAUCUACUGUAUUACAUUUAGAAAACAGUAAAGUGAGAUUUAUUGGAUAUGCAUGAAUAACCAUGUACAUAGAACCAUCAGGUUUAGUUUUAUUAAGCCCGUCGCACACAGCUCGACUCAAGCCGUCCCGACUCAUCUCAUCUGAGUUUGCACAGAUUCCGCGAUCAGCUGUGCUCAGUUUUGGUUUGAUGACUGCCCAGUCCCUGACCACAUUCCGGCGCCUCCUUAAGACUCACCUCUUCAAACAGCACCUAUAGAACUCCUCUGUUUGUAUCCUGGGACACUAUCACCCUUCAUUUAAAUGUGCUUUAUUUUGCUCUUAUCUGCCCCCUAUUUUACUGCAUUUAAUCCUGUACUUCAGAAUACUGUAAUCUGCCAAGUGUUUAACCUGUAGUACUUUGUAUUUAAUCACAUCCUGAUGUAACUAUCACUAUUUAAUCAUAUCCUGAUGUAACUAUCACUAUUAUCUGCUGUAUUAUUGAAUUGUGGUUUGUCACACUUGUACUUUGCUUGAACAAAAGUUAUUGUAUUUCUUGCUCUUAUUGUAUUACUUGUAUUGUAACGCUUGAAAUGUAUUUGCUUACGAUUGUAAAUCGCCCUGGAUAAGGGUGUCUGCUAAGAAAUAAAUAAUAAUAAUAAUAAUUGAGUUUUUCCCAACUGGGAAAGACUGAAUUAGACUGAUACUGCCCUGUACACAUUUUUUUAUUAACUUAGCCCAAAAUAGUGACCCUCACAUUAUGCACGGUAUCAUAUGCUGAUUAGACAGCAGAGACAGUGCCGUGAGGCAACAAAAAAGAAGCGUUUAUCCUAUUAAUUUAGCUAUUGAACAUUUACACCCUGCAAACAUUUCAAGCAGUGUUUUUGUAUAGUUUGUCUACUACACUUUAGCCUGUGAUAAAUAAAAUCCAACAUGUUGAUUUUUAUUUGA